Molecule: ribosomal RNA, 253 nt
Filed under: uncultured prokaryote
Description: partial 16S ribosomal RNA
Rfam family: Bacterial small subunit ribosomal RNA
Source: RNAcentral
ACGAAGGGUGCAAGCGUUACUCGGAAUUACUGGGCGUAAAGCGUGCGUAGGUGGUUCGUUAAGUCUGAUGUGAAAGCCCUGGGCUCAACCUGGGAAUGGCAUUGGAUACUGGCGAUCUAGAGUGCGGUAGAGGGCAGUGGAAUUCCAGGUGUAGCGGUGAAAUGCGUAGAUAUCUGGGGGAACACCGGUGGCGAAGGCGACAUCCUGGACCGGUAUUGACGCUGAGGCGCGAAAGCCAGGGGAGCAAACGGGA